This 72-nucleotide transfer RNA is filed under the name Mus musculus (house mouse). It matches the Rfam family "tRNA". From Rfam's summary of the family: Transfer RNA (tRNA) molecules are approximately 80 nucleotides in length. Lineage: Eukaryota; Metazoa; Chordata; Mammalia; Rodentia; Muridae. The record is from Rfam by way of RNAcentral. RNAcentral also lists the same sequence under 1 other name.
UGGGGUGUAGCUCAAUGGUAGAGCAUGUGCCUUGAAUGCACAAGGCCUUGGAUUUGAGUCCUAGCACAACAA